Molecule: ribosomal RNA, 435 nt
Filed under: uncultured Amoebophrya
Lineage: Eukaryota; Dinophyceae; Syndiniales
Description: partial Bacterial large subunit ribosomal RNA
Rfam family: Bacterial large subunit ribosomal RNA
Source: RNAcentral
AUUCCUUGUCGGGUAAGUUCCGACCUGCACGAAUGGCGUAACGACUUCCCCGCUGUCUCCAACAUAGACUCAGCGAAAUUGAAUUACCUGUCAAGAUGCAGGUUUCCCGCGGUUAGACGGAAAGACCCCGUGCACCUUUACUACAGCUUCACACUGGCAUUAGGCCGAACAUGUGCAGGAUAGGUGGUGGGCUUUGAAGCAGAGACGCUAGUCUUUGUGGAGCCUCCCUUGAGAUACCACCCUUCGCACUCUUGAUGUCUAACCGCGGUCCGUUAUCCGGAUCCGGGACCCUGUGUGGCGGGUAGUUUGACUGGGGCGGUCGCCUCCUAAAGCGUAACGGAGGCGCGCGAAGGUUGGCUCAGAGCGGUCGGAAAUCGCUCGUUGAGUGCAAUGGCAGAAGCCAGCCUGACUGCAAGACUGACAAGUCGAGCAGAG